UGGGGAAUCUUAGACAAUGGGCGCAAGCCUGAUCUAGCCAUGCCGCGUGAGCGAUGAAGGCCUUAGGGUUGUAAAGCUCUUUCGCUGGGGAAGAUAAUGACUGUACCCAGUAAAGAAGCCCCGGCUAACUCCGUGCCAGCAGCCGCGGUAAUACGGAGGGGGCUAGCGUUAUUCGGAAUUACUGGGCGUAAAGCGCACGUAGGCGGACCAGAAAGUCAGAGGUGAAAUCCCAGGGCUCAACCUUGGAACUGCCUUUGAAACUCCUGGUCUUGAGUUCGAGAGAGGUGAGUGGAAUUCCGAGUGUAGAGGUGAAAUUCGUAGAUAUUCGGAGGAACACCAGUGGCGAAGGCGGCUCACUGGCUCGAUACUGACGCUGAGGUGCGAAAGCGUGGGGAGCAAACA
This 402-nucleotide ribosomal RNA is filed under the name uncultured prokaryote. Its description in RNAcentral is "bacterial SSU rRNA". It matches the Rfam family "Bacterial small subunit ribosomal RNA", at positions 355 to 774 of the family's 1533-position model. The record is from RNAcentral.